GUAGUGACAAGAAAUAACAAUACAAGGCAGUUAAAAUGCUUUGUAAUUGGAAUGAUAGAAAUUUAAACACUUUUUAAAGUAUCAAUUGGAGGGCAAGUCUGGUGCCAGCAGCCGCGGUAAUUCCAGCUCCAAUAGCGUAUAUUAAAAUUGUUGCAGUUAAAAAGCUCGUAGUUGAAUUUCUGUUAAAAAUAACCGGUCUGCUUUUAAUAAAAGUGGUAUCUUGGUGUGUUUUUAGCAAUAAUGUCCUUUGAAAUGUUUUUUACUUUAUUGUAAUAAAUAAUAUUCAGGAUUUUUACUUUGAGAAAAUUAGAGUGUUUCUAGCAGGCUAACGCUUUGAAUACUGCAGCAUGGAAUAAUAAAAUAGGAUUUUAGUUCUACAUUAUUGGUUUUAAGAACUAAAUUAAUGAUUGAUAGGGACAGUUGGGGGCAUUUGUAUUUAACUGUCAGAGGUGAAAUUCUUAGAUUUGUUAAAGACAAACUACUGCGAAAGCAUUUGCCAAAGAUGUUUUCAUUAAUCAAGAACGAAAGUUAGGGGAUCGAAGACGAUCAGAUACCGUCGUAGUCUUAACUAUAAACUAUGCCGACUAGAGAU
This 592-nucleotide ribosomal RNA is filed under the name Hepatozoon felis. RNAcentral describes it as "SSU rRNA". It matches the Rfam family "Eukaryotic small subunit ribosomal RNA", at positions 464 to 1053 of the family's 1831-position model. The record is from RNAcentral. Lineage: Eukaryota; Apicomplexa; Hepatozoidae.